UCCAGACUCCUACGGGAGGCAGCAGUGGGGAAUAUUGGGCAAUGGGCGCAAGCCUGACCCAGCAACGCCGCGUGAAGGAAGAAGGCUUUCGGGUUGUAAACUUCUUUUAAGAGGGAAGAGUAGAAGACGGUACCUCUUGAAUAAGCCACGGCUAACUACGUGCCAGCAGCCGCGGUAAUACGUAGGGGGCAAGCGUUAUCCGGAUUCACUGGGCGUAAAGGGAGCGCAGGCGGCACGGCAAGUCUGGUGUGAAAGCCCGGGGCCCAACCCCGGGACUGCAUUGGAAACUGCCGGGCUGGAGUACUGGAGAGGCAGACGGAAUUCCUAGUGUAGCGGUGAAAUGCGUAGAUAUUAGGAGGAACACCAGUGGCGAAGGCGGUCUGCUGGACAGCAACUGACGCUGAGGCGCGAAAGCGUGGGGAGCAAACAGGAUUAGAUACCCCCGUAUAC
Molecule: ribosomal RNA, 450 nt
Filed under: uncultured bacterium
Lineage: Bacteria
Description: bacterial SSU rRNA
Rfam family: Bacterial small subunit ribosomal RNA
Source: RNAcentral